ACGAACUCUGGUAUUGAUUGGUGCUUGCAUCAUGAUUUACAUUUGAGUGAGUGGCGAACUGGUGAGUAACACGUGGGAAACCUGCCCAGAAGCGGGGGAUAACACCUGGAAACAGAUGCUAAUACCGCAUAACAACUUGGACCGCAUGGUCCGAGUUUGAAAGAUGGCUUCGGCUAUCACUUUUGGAUGGUCCCGCGGCGUAUUAGCUAGAUGGUGGGGUAACGGCUCACCAUGGCAAUGAUACGUAGCCGACCUGAGAGGGUAAUCGGCCACAUUGGGACUGAGACACGGCCCAAACUCCUACGGGAGGCAGCAGUAGGGAAUCUUCCACAAUGGACGAAAGUCUGAUGGAGCAACGCCGCGUGAGUGAAGAAGGGUUUCGGCUCGUAAAACUCUGUUGUUAAAGAAGAACAUAUCUGAGAGUAACUGUUCAGGUAUUGACGGUAUUUAACCAGAAAGCCACGGCUAACUACGUGCCAGCAGCCGCGGUAAUACGUAGGUGGCAAGCGUUGUCCGGAUUUAUUGGGCGUAAAGCGAGCGCAGGCGGUUUUUUAAGUCUGAUGUGAAAGCCUUCG
Molecule: ribosomal RNA, 575 nt
Filed under: Lactiplantibacillus pentosus
Lineage: Bacteria; Bacillati; Bacillota; Bacilli; Lactobacillales; Lactobacillaceae
Description: bacterial SSU rRNA
Rfam family: Bacterial small subunit ribosomal RNA
Source: RNAcentral